RNAcentral lists this ribosomal RNA (500 nucleotides) under uncultured bacterium. Its description in RNAcentral is "partial 16S ribosomal RNA". It matches the Rfam family "Bacterial small subunit ribosomal RNA", at positions 30 to 523 of the family's 1533-position model. The record is from RNAcentral.
AUUGAACGCUGGCGGCAUGCUUUACACAUGCAAGUCGAACGGCAGCACGGACUUCGGUCUGGUGGCGAGUGGCGAACGGGUGAGUAAUACAUCGGAACGUGCCCAGUUGUGGGGGAUAACUACUCGAAAGAGUAGCUAAUACCGCAUGAGAACUGAGGUUGAGAGCAGGGGAUCGUAAGACCUUGCGCAACUGGAGCGGCCGAUGGCAGAUUAGGUAGUUGGUGAGAUAAAAGCUUACCAAGCCGGCGAUCUGUAGCUGGUCUGAGAGGACGACCAGCAACACGGGGACUGAGACACGGCCCAGACUCCUACGGGAGGCAGCAGUGGGGAAUUUUGGACAAUGGGCGAAAGCCCGAUCCAGCAAUGCCGCGUGCAGGAUGAAGGCCUUCGGGUUGUAAACUGCUUUUGUACGGAACGAAAAGCUUCGGGUUAAUACCCUGGAGUCAUGACGGUACCGUAAGAAUAAGCACCGGCUAACUACGUGCCAGCCGCCGCCGUAA